CAGGGAAAUUUAGUACCGAAGUCCGGCUGGAUAAGAGGCGAGAAAAGCUGCGUGUAUAUCUAAGGUGCCCGUACCGCAAACCGACACAGGUAGGUAGGAAGAAGAUUCUAAGGCCAACGGGAGAAGGGUUGUUAAGGAACUCGGCAAGUUGACCCCGUAACUUCGGAAUAAGGGGUGCUCAUGAAAGUGAGCCGCAGAGAAUAGGCCCAGGCAACUGUUUACCAAAAACACAGGUUUGUGCUAAAUCGAAAGAUGACGUAUACGAGCUGACGCCUGCCCGGUGCUGGAAGGUUAAAAGGAGAUGUGCAAGCAUUGAAUUGAAGCCCCAGUGAACGGCGGCCGUAACAAUAACGGUCCUAAGGUAGCGAAAUUCCUUGUCAGGUAAGUUCUGACCCGCAUGAAAGGCGUAAUGAUCUGGGCACUGUCUCAACAGCCCGCCCGGCGAAAUUGUAGUACCGGUGAAGAUGCCGGUUACCCGCGACAAGACGGAAAGACCCCAUGGAGCUUUACUGUAGCCUAAUAUUGGGUUUCGGUGUUGCAUGCACAGGAUAGAUGGGACGCUGGGAAGUGAGUGCUUUGGCAUUCAUGGAGCGGCCGUUGGGAUACCAUCCUUGCGACAUUGGAAUUCUAACCUGCGCCUUUGAAUCAAGGCGGGGGACAUUGUUAGGUGGGCAGUUUGACUGGGGCGGUCGCCUCCUAAAGAGUAGCGGAGGCGUUCAAAGGUUGGCUCGUCCUGGACGGAAACCAGGAGAGAGAGUGCAAACGCAAAAGCCAGCCUGACUGCGAGACUGACGGGUCGAGCAGAGACGAAAGUCGGAGUUAGUGAUCCGGUGGUAUGUGAGUGGAAAUGCCAUCGCUCAACGGAUAAAAGUUACCCUGGGAUAACAGGCUGAUCUCCCCCAAGAGUCCACAUCGACGGGGAGGUUUGGCACCUCGAUGUCGGCUCAUCGCAUCCUGGGGCUGUAUUCGGUCCCAAGGGUUUGGCUGUUCGCCAAUUAAAGCGGUACGCGAGCUGGGUUCAGAACGUCGUGAGACAGUUCGGUCCCUAUCUGUCGUGGGCGCAGGAUAUUUGAAAGGCGCUGUCCCUAGUACGAGAGGACCGGGAUGGACGAACCUCUGGUGCACCAGUUGUCACGCCAGUGGCACAGCUGGGCAGCUAUGUUCGGAUCGGAUAAACGCUGAAAGCAUCUAAGCGUGAAGCCGGCCUUAAGAUAAGAUAUCCCACUGGGACAAUCAGGUAAGACCCCUUGAAGACUACAAGGUUGAUAGGCACAAUGUGUAAGUGGCGCGAGUCAUUGAGCAAGCGUGUACUAAUAGGUCGAGGGCUUGAUC
Molecule: ribosomal RNA, 1332 nt
Filed under: metagenome
Description: bacterial LSU rRNA
Rfam family: Bacterial large subunit ribosomal RNA
Source: RNAcentral